CGACUAAACUCCAGGGUUUUCAUUUGUGGCCACCGGAAUCUUCUAAAAAUCACUAAACUGCUCUCUUUCUCUCUUUUUAAACUCAAACAAACAACAUCUGUGCAUCUUCCUGAUUCCACAUCUCAGUGCCAUGAAAAUAUGUGUAUAUUUUCAAGCACUGCAGCACAGUUAGGUGUGCCCACUUCCUCAUUUCAGCCUUACUACACACACACACACACACACACAUACACAUAUAUAUACACACUAAACCCUGCGACUGAAUAAAUUGCAGCGGUCUGCCAGAUCCCUUACCGCAAAUCACUAGAGAGAGCGAGAGAUAGAUAACGAAGGAGAGACGCUGGCCGCGUUUUCCCUCGUCUGCAAUAAGUUCCUUUGUCAGCCAACACGGAGCUAAAAAUGGCUCCAUGUGAACGAGAGGUGAAAGGCAGCCAGUGAGUCAUCUUAACGUGUGCUCGUAUCGCCAUGAAGGAGCGUCAGACCGUGUUCUUAAAGGCAAACACACAUGGAGACUUACUUGUGCUGCUUGUAUCCCCAAAUAAUCUGGACAAUGACCUCGAGAAAGACGCGGAUUUCUCCAGCAUGGCGGCAAUUUGACAAGACCGAAAUCAUGGACUCUCUUCCCCCUGAACAAUUCAUUGCCUAUGCGUGUACCUGAGGCAGGGCUUGGACCACCGUAUCCAGCAGGGCUCUCAUUCCCGUGGCCAUCUUCAGCAGCUUGAGGACUGUGUGAGGAGGGAGUCUCUUUUAUACUCUCAUGAUCCUGAUGAUGGUGGGGUUGAUGGGCAGGGCGGCGCUGAUCUCGAUCUCCUCCAAUGUGAUGCCCAUGACAGACAGCAGCACGAUGGCGAGAUCCAGUUGGUUCCACCUGGCACAAGCAAACACAAAUGUUAGGGUAAUGGUUUUAUUGCAUUUGAACAUGCAUCAGAUUACAAUUG
Molecule: non-coding RNA, 935 nt
Organism: Doryrhamphus excisus (bluestripe pipefish)
Lineage: Eukaryota; Metazoa; Chordata; Actinopteri; Syngnathiformes; Syngnathidae
Source: RefSeq, a predicted model, not a curated record